CGAAACCAGGUGAUCUACCCUUGGUCAGGUUGAAGUUCAGGUAACACUGAAUGGAGGACCGAACCGACUUACGUUGAAAAGUGAGCGGAUGAACUGAGGGUAGCGGAGAAAUUCCAAUCGAACUUGGAGAUAGCUGGUUCUCUCCGAAAUAGCUUUAGGGCUAGCCUCAAGUGAUGAUUAUUGGAGGUAGAGCACUGUUUGGACGAGGGGCCCCUCUCGGGUUACCGAAUUCAGACAAACUCCGAAUGCCAAAUAAUUUAACUUGGGAGUCAGAAUGUGGGUGAUAAGGUCCAUAUUCGAAAGGGAAACAGCCCAGACCACCAGCUAAGGUCCCAAAAUAUAUGUUAAGUGGAAAAGGAUGUGGCGUUGCCCAGACAACUAGGAUGUUGGCUUAGAAGCAGCCAUCAUUUAAAGAGUGCGUAAUAGCUCACUAGUCGAGUGACACUGCGCCGAAAAUGUACCGGGGCUAAACAUAU
RNAcentral lists this ribosomal RNA (476 nucleotides) under Staphylococcus pseudintermedius. RNAcentral describes it as "partial 23S ribosomal RNA". It matches the Rfam family "Bacterial large subunit ribosomal RNA", at positions 716 to 1191 of the family's 2925-position model. Lineage: Bacteria; Bacillati; Bacillota; Bacilli; Caryophanales; Staphylococcaceae. The record is from RNAcentral.